Molecule: ribosomal RNA, 406 nt
Filed under: uncultured bacterium
Lineage: Bacteria
Description: partial 16S ribosomal RNA
Rfam family: Bacterial small subunit ribosomal RNA
Source: RNAcentral
AUUGAACGCUGGCGGCAUGCCUUACACAUGCAAGUCGGACGAGUGGCGAACGGGUGAGUAUUAUAUUGGAACGUACCGAGUAAUGGGGGAUAACCAAUCGAAAGAUUGGCUAAUACUGCAUAUUAUUCGUGCGGCCAUUAUCUGAUUAGCUAGGUGGUGGGGUAAAGGCCUACAAAGGCGACGAUCAGUAGCGGGUCUGCGAGGAUGAUGGGCCAAACGGGGACUGGAACAGGGCCCGAACGCCUUCGGGAGGCAGAGGAGGGGAAGUUUGGACAAGGGGCGCAAGCCUGGCCCAGCACUACGGGGUGUCUGAAGAAGGUCUUCGGGUUGUAAAGGACUGUUGUUAGGGAAGCGGGACCUAAAGAGUGAGCACCGGCUAACUACGUGCCAGCAGCCGCGGUAAUUC